UUGAAAGGGAAACGAUUGAAGUCAGUCGUACCGACGAGAAAUCAACUUAUCGUGUGCGAACUUGUGGGCGUGCGUGAGUUUCGGCCUCGCUGUUUGCAUGUUUGUGCGCUUUGGGUGUACUUUUUCGUAUGGUAGGCCAACGUCAGUUUCGAUUAUCAUAAAAUGACCGGCGGAAUGUAGCUUCGAUUUCGGUUGAGGUGUUAUAGCCUCUGGUAGAUGUGGUGAUUGAGACUGAGGAUUGCAACGAAUACCCUUUGGGCUAUCCGUCUGGCCUCUGAAAGUUGCUCAGGUGCCGAAAGCGUGCUUACGGUCAUCUAAGAUAACGUUCAACAGGUUAGAACGUGAUUACAUUCGUUAAGGAUGUUGACGUA
This 371-nucleotide ribosomal RNA is filed under the name uncultured Glomeromycotina. RNAcentral's name for it is "eukaryotic LSU rRNA". Lineage: Eukaryota; Fungi; Glomeromycota. The record is from RNAcentral.